Molecule: long non-coding RNA, 1905 nt
Filed under: Homo sapiens (human)
Lineage: Eukaryota; Metazoa; Chordata; Mammalia; Primates; Hominidae
Description: HSALNT0202828
Source: RNAcentral
GCACCACUGCACUCCAGCCUGGGUGACAGAGCGAGACUGUCUCAAAACAAAAACAAAACAAAACAAAAAAAAUUCCAACUAGGGAAGAACCUAAUUAACAUUUAACAAGCUCUACACAAAAGUCAUAAAAUAAAAUACAGUUGAAUAGAAGAGAUAAGGAAAGGCAGGGUGUUAUCUAUUAAUUUCACUUAUGAACAUAGUGUUACCUGCAGGUCUUUUUUCUUAGAGUUCCCAAGAUGGUGGCAGGCUGCUCCCAAGGGCGCUGCUCCCAAGAUGGCGGGAAGCCUUUUGUUCUCUGACCUGGGGUUCUUGGCCUCACAGAUUCCAAGGAAUGGAACCUUGGGCCAUGCGCUUUUGAAAAAAACAAACUGAGAAAUCAUUUGUGGGGUAAAAAAGAUAUGGACAGCAAUAAGUACUUACCUCUAUAUUGAAUGAUAGGUCAGAUGUUGAAGUGGUCACUUCCAGUGUGGUUUUAUUUGGAACUGGGACCUCUAAGAAAGCAAUUAAGGUUAAAUGAGGUUGCUCUGAUCUGACAGUAUUAGUGCAUUUAUAAGAAGAGAAAUUAGGGAGCUAUCCAGCCCCAAUGAGAAAGAAGAGGUCACAUAAGCACACAGCAAGAAGGCUGCUGUCUACACGUCUAGAGAAGAGGCCUCAGAAAGAAGCCAGCCUUGCCAGCAAUUUGAUCUUGGACAUUUUAGCCUUGAGAACUGUGAAAAUAAAUUUCUGUUGUUUAAGUUACCCAAUCUGUAGCAUUUUGUUAUGGCAGCUAUAGCAGACAAGUGUGGUAUACUAACUAAAUAAAACUUAUUUUUUAAAAAAUGGACAAAGAAUUUGAAUUGACACUUUUCCAAAAAUGUUAUACAAUAUGCAGUAUGUACAUGAAAAGAGAGUCAGUAUCAUUAGCCAUCAGGUAAAUACCAAUGAAAACCAUGAGACACCACUCACAUCCACUAGAAAUUGCAUAUAAUAUUCCCACAAAAAUUGUAUAUAAAUUUGUACAGCAGCAUUAUUCAUAGUAGCCAAAAAGUGAAAAUAAUUCAACUGUCCAUCAUUCAAUGAAUGGGUUAAAAAAUUUAAUGUGUCGAUAAAAUGGAAUAUAAUUUGCCACAAAAAGUAAUAAAAUGCUAAUAUAUACAACAUGGAUGAAUCUUGCAAAAAUUAUGUUAAGUGGAAGAAGCUAGACCCAAAAGGACGCAUAUAGUAUAAUCCUAUUUAUAUGAAGUUUCCUAAAUGGGCAAACUCAUAGAGACAGAAAGUAGAUUCGUGGUUGUCGGUAUCUAAGGAAAAGUGGGAAUGAAAAAUGAUUGCUCAUGGACAUGGCAUUUCUUUUUGACAUAAUAAAAAUAUUCUAAAAUUAGAGGUGUUGAUAUCAAAAAUGCAUAUACUAAAAUCCACUGAAUUACAAAUUUUAAAAGGGUGAAUUUUAUAAAUUAUAAAUUAUAUUUCAAUAAAGAUGUUAUGAAAACUCAAAACAAAUAAUAAAAAAAGUAUUUUCUAUUGCUAUGAAGUUUCAAAAUAGUCAGUGGGGUACACAUAGGUGGUAGUAAAAGUAAAAAGAGAGCAAAGAUAUAUUUGCCAGAAAGUUAGGAGAACGAAUAUUUUCAAGAACAAGGAAAGGGUGUAUGAUCAGGGAAGGACACAAAAGAGGCUUCUGUAGCAACCGUAUUAAAAUAUCUACCUUUCUAUCACAUCUGGAUGGCUAAUCAGUAUUCACUAUUGCAGCUCUAAUGAGAAAUAAUUUAGACUAUAAAAACAACAGUAUCAUAUAGUUAUUGAGACCCCCAAAGUGACUCAUCUGUCUGCUGAGUUUUUUCUUGCUGGUUGUCUUGUUUAUUAUUUAUGUUAAUAAAUCAGAUCUUCUACAGUGCAUUAUAUUGGCUAUUCUCUGUUCCUACCCACUCCCCC